AUCCAGCUGACGAGUUUGAAAUAGGACGAAACGCGCACCCUGGAU
Molecule: non-coding RNA, 45 nt
Filed under: Schistosoma margrebowiei
Lineage: Eukaryota; Metazoa; Platyhelminthes; Trematoda; Strigeidida; Schistosomatidae
Source: RNAcentral